This 253-nucleotide ribosomal RNA is filed under the name uncultured bacterium. RNAcentral's name for it is "partial 16S ribosomal RNA". It matches the Rfam family "Bacterial small subunit ribosomal RNA", at positions 524 to 776 of the family's 1533-position model. The record is from RNAcentral.
UACAGAGGGUGCAAGCGUUAAUCGGAAUUACUGGGCGUAAAGCGCGCGUAGGCGGUCUAGUAAGUUGGAUGUGAAAGCCCCGGGCUCAACCUGGGAAUUGCAUCCAAAACUGCUAGGCUAGAGUACAGUAGAGGGUGGUGGAAUUUCCUGUGUAGCGGUGAAAUGCGUAGAUAUAGGAAGGAACACCAGUGGCGAAGGCGACCACCUGGACUGAUACUGACGCUGAGGUGCGAAAGCGUGGGGAGCAAACAGG